GGGUUGUGAGGUUAAGCGACUAAGCGUACACGGUGGAUGCCCUGGCAGUCAGAGGCGAUGAAGGACGUGCUAAUCUGCGAUAAGCGUCGGUAAGGUGAUAUGAACCGUUAUAACCGGCGAUUUCCGAAUGGGGAAACCCAGUGUGAUUCGUCACACUAUCAUUAACUGAAUCCAUAGGUUAAUGAGGCGAACCGGGGGAACUGAAACAUCUAAGUACCCCGAGGAAAAGAAAUCAACCGAGAUUCCCCCAGUAGCGGCGAGCGAACGGGGAGCAGCCCAGAGCCUGAAUCAGUGUGUGUGUUAGUGGAAGCGUCUGGAAAGGCGUGCGAUACAGGGUGACAGCCCCGUACACAAAAAUGCACAUACUGUGAGCUCGAUGAGUAGGGCGGGACACGUGGUAUCCUGUCUGAAUAUGGGGGGACCAUCCUCCAAGGCUAAAUACUCCUGACUGACCGAUAGUGAACCAGUACCGUGAGGGAAAGGCGAAAAGAACCCCGGCGAGGGGAGUGAAAAAGAACCUGAAACCGUGUACGUACAAGCAGUGGGAGCACGCUUAGGCGUGUGACUGCGUACCUUUUGUAUAAUGGGUCAGCGACUUAUAUUCUGUAGCAAGGUUAACCGAAUAGGGGAGCCGAAGGGAAACCGAGUCUUAACUGGGCGUUAAGUUGCAGGGUAUAGACCCGAAACCCGGUGAUCUAGCCAUGGGCAGGUUGAAGGUUGGGUAACACUAACUGGAGGACCGAACCGACUAAUGUUGAAAAAUUAGCGGAUGACUUGUGGCUGGGGGUGAAAGGCCAAUCAAACCGGGAGAUAGCUGGUUCUCCCCGAAAGCUAUUUAGGUAGCGCCUCGUGAAUUCAUCUCCGGGGGUAGAGCACUGUUUCGGCAAGGGGGUCAUCCCGACUUACCAACCCGAUGCAAACUGCGAAUACCGGAGAAUGUUAUUACGGGAGACACACGGCGGGUGCUAACGUCCGUCGUGAAGAGGGAAACAACCCAGACCGCCAGCUAAGGUCCCAAAGUCAUGGUUAAGUGGGAAACGAUGUGGGAAGGCCCAGACAGCCAGGAUGUUGGCUUAGAAGCAGCCAUCAUUUAAAGAAAGCGUAAUAGCUCACUGGUCGAGUCGGCCUGCGCGGAAGAUGUAACGGGGCUAAACCAUGCACCGAAGCUGCGGCAGCGACGCUUAUGCGUUGUUGGGUAGGGGAGCGUUCUGUAAGCCUGUGAAGGUGUGCUGUGAGGUAUGCUGGAGGUAUCAGAAGUGCGAAUGCUGACAUAAGUAACGAUAAAGCGGGUGAAAAGCCCGCUCGCCGGAAGACCAAGGGUUCCUGUCCAACGUUAAUCGGGGCAGGGUGAGUCGACCCCUAAGGCGAGGCCGAAAGGCGUAGUCGAUGGGAAACAGGUUAAUAUUCCUGUACUUGGUGUUACUGCGAAGGGGGGACGGAGAAGGCUAUGUUGGCCGGGCGACGGUUGUCCCGGUUUAAGCGUGUAGGCUGGUUUUCCAGGCAAAUCCGGAAAAUCAAGGCCGAGGCGUGAUGACGAGGCACUACGGUGCUGAAGCAACAAAUGCCCUGCUUCCAGGAAAAGCCUCUAAGCAUCAGGUAACAUCAAAUCGUACCCCAAACCGACACAGGUGGUCAGGUAGAGAAUACCAAGGCGCUUGAGAGAACUCGGGUGAAGGAACUAGGCAAAAUGGUGCCGUAACUUCGGGAGAAGGCACGCUGAUACGUAGGUGAAGCGACUUGCUCGUGGAGCUGAAAUCAGUCGAAGAUACCAGCUGGCUGCAACUGUUUAUUAAAAACACAGCACUGUGCAAACACGAAAGUGGACGUAUACGGUGUGACGCCUGCCCGGUGCCGGAAGGUUAAUUGAUGGGGUUAGCGCAAGCGAAGCUCUUGAUCGAAGCCCCGGUAAACGGCGGCCGUAACUAUAACGGUCCUAAGGUAGCGAAAUUC
This 1950-nucleotide ribosomal RNA is filed under the name Shigella flexneri. RNAcentral describes it as "partial 23S ribosomal RNA". It matches the Rfam family "Bacterial large subunit ribosomal RNA", at positions 1 to 1967 of the family's 2925-position model. The record is from RNAcentral. Lineage: Bacteria; Pseudomonadati; Pseudomonadota; Gammaproteobacteria; Enterobacterales; Enterobacteriaceae.